UGCAUGUGUAAGUACCGGCCUGACUAAGGCGAAACCGCGAAUGGCUCAUUAAAUCAGUUAUGGUUCAUUGGAUCUCACACUUUGUCCUACUUGGAUAACUGUGGCAAUUCUAGAGCUAAUACAUGCACCUGAGCCCCGACCGGGCGGCAUGCUAUGGCCCUAACCGACCUCGUGAGAGAGCGGCGGGUGUGGUGUGUGCAGCUCGGCGGGGGCGCUUUUAUUAGAUCAAGACCAAUCGGGCCUCGGUCCGUGCUGUGUCUGUGAUGACUCUGGAUAACUUUGGGCUGAGCGCAUGGCCUUUGCGCCGGCGCCGCGUCCUUCGAGUGUCUGCCUUAUCAGCUUUCGACGGUAGGCUAUGCGCCAACCGUGGCGAUCACGGGUGACGGGGAAUCAGGGUUCGAUUCCGGAGAGGGAGCCUGAGAGACGGCUACCACAUCUAAGGAAGGCAGCAGGCACGCAAAUUACCCACUCCCGGCUCGGGGAGGUAGUGACGAAAAAUAACGAUGCGGGACUCUUCCGAGGCCCCGCAAUCGGAAUGGGCGCAGCCUAAAGCCCUGCGCGAGGAUCGAUUGGAGGGCAAGUCUGGUGCCAGCAGCCGCGGUAAUUCCAGCUCCAAUAGCGUAUACUAAAGUUGCUGCGGUUAAAAAGCUCGUAGUCGGCCCUGAGCGGCGGUGCAGCGGCCCGCCGCCUGCGUGCGGCGUUGGCCUGGCUGUUGUCCGUCCCGCGUGUGGGGGUGGUGGCCGCUUGUCGGUCGCCAUCCUGCAGCCCGGAGGUCGACCCGGCCGGGGUGCCCUUCGCCGGGUGCCCCGAUAGCCGCCCGGUCGACGAGUUUACUUUGAAAAAAUUAGAGUGCUCAGUGCAGGCGCGUAUUGGCCGGAAGCCGGCAGUCGCCCGUAUGUCGUACAGCAUGGAAUAAUGGAACAGGACCUCGGUUCUAUGUGUUUCGUUGGUCUUGUGGAGCCCGAGGUGAUGAGCGAUGGGAACGGUGCGGGGGCAUUCGUAUUGCGACGCUAGAGGUGAAAUUCUUGGACCGUCGCACGACGACCGACCGCGAAAGCAUCUGCCAAGUACGCUUUCAUCGAUCAAGAACGAAAGUUAGAGGUUCGAAGGCGAUCAGAUACCGCCCUAGUUCUAACCAUAAACGAUGCCGACCAGCGAUCCGCCGGCGUUAUUCCCAUGACUCGGCGGGCAGCUCCCGCGGGAAACCACGAGUGUUCGGGUUCCGGGGGAAGUAUGGUUGCAAAGCUGAAACUUAAAGGAAUUGACGGAAGGGCACCACCAGGAGUGGAGCCUGCGGCUUAAUUUGACUCAACACGGGACACCUCACCGGGCCCGGACACCGGUAGGAUUGACAGAUUGAGAGCUCUUUCUCGAUUCGGUGGGUGGUGGUGCAUGGCCGUUCUUAGUUGGUGGAGCGAUUUGUCUGGUUAAUUCCGAUAACGAACGAGACUCAGACCUGCUAACUAGCCGACAGGUCGGGAUUGCCGUGGGGCGCGUGUUACCCGAGCGGUGUUGGCGUUGGCUGUUGUGGCUGUGCGUUGGUUGUAGUCGUUGUGGAGUGUUGUGGCGUUUACGUCCUGCGCUCUGUGGCGGCGGCAGCGGCGGCGUCAGUUGCGGCAGUGGCGGUGGCAUUGAGCGGGGCCGCGCCUGCGGUCGGUCGCCUGUCGCGUCUUCUUAGAGGGAUCAGCGGCGUACAGCCGCGCGAGAUUGAGCAAUAACAGGUCUGUGAUGCCCUUAGAUGUUCCGGGCCGCACGCGCGCUACACUGCGGGGCUCAACGUGCUUCGGCCUGGCCCGAGAGGGCCGGGUAACCCGUGGAAACCCCCGCGUGAUUGGGAUUGGGGCUUGCCAUUGUUCCCCAUGAACGAGGAAUUCCCAGUAGGUGCGAGUCAUCAGCUCGCGCCGAUUACGUCCCUGCCCUUUGUACACACCGCCCGUCGCUACUACCGAUUGAACGAUUUAGUGAGGCCUUCGGACCAGCGCCCGUGGUUGGUAGUGUGGCAUGUGUGUGUGAACGCAUGUGUGCACUGUCGCUGCAGGCUGCCGGGAAGAUGUCCGAACUUGAUCGUUU
RNAcentral lists this ribosomal RNA (2070 nucleotides) under Bathynellidae sp. SV0138. Its description in RNAcentral is "SSU rRNA". It matches the Rfam family "Eukaryotic small subunit ribosomal RNA". The record is from RNAcentral. Lineage: Eukaryota; Metazoa; Arthropoda; Malacostraca; Bathynellacea; Bathynellidae.